UGCAAGUCGAACGGAGUAAAGCCCUUCGGGACUUUACUUAGUGGCGAACGGGUGAGUAACGCGUGAGGAACCUGCCUUUCAGUGGGGGACAACAGUUGGAAACGACUGCUAAUACCGCAUGACGCUUCUUGGGGGCAUCCCUGGGAAGUCAAAGAUUUAUUGCUGAAAGAUGGCCUCGCGUCUGAUUAGCUAGUUGGCGGGGUAACGGCCCACCAAGGCGACGAUCAGUAGCCGGUCUGAGAGGAUGAACGGCCACAUUGGGACUGAGAUACGGCCCAGACUCC
RNAcentral lists this ribosomal RNA (284 nucleotides) under uncultured Eubacteriales bacterium. RNAcentral describes it as "uncultured Clostridiales bacterium partial 16S ribosomal RNA". It matches the Rfam family "Bacterial small subunit ribosomal RNA", at positions 56 to 339 of the family's 1533-position model. Lineage: Bacteria; Bacillati; Bacillota; Clostridia; Eubacteriales. The record is from RNAcentral.